UAUGUGUACUGCAACCUUAUUUUGAAGGGGAUAAAUGAUCUGUUAAAAAAAUGGCUGUUAUGUUCUCAUAAACUCAUCCAACACUACAAUGCCAAGGAAGCAGAUGGUGUCACAUGUAAAGAGGCCAGCGAUCGAGUAGCCUUACCCAAUUAUCUACAAGAAAAGAAGGCCAUCGCCUUCAGAUGCAUGUGGUCUAAAGCAAGUUUUGUUUCUAAAUGUAGAUUUGCAAAUUACUUUGCAGUUGGUGUGACUAUCCAGACGGCGAAACGGUUCAAGGUUACUAUUGACCUGCUGGGCCAUUCUGAAAAAGAUUCAGAGGCAACACGCUUGCAGCGAAGAUUCACGGUGAAGACACGUAUAACUGUAUAAGGUAGACUGCAGAACUUUAGUUCUGCCUUCUCUGGUACCAGCGAGGCCGGACUGAUGCCCACAAAGAUGAUACGUCAUUACUGUUUUUGCCUGAGACCUACAUAGAAGCUUUCCUGGCCAUGUGGUAAAAGGAGAUGUUGUUGGAGCACCACUCAGAAGCAUCGUGGGUUUACUUAGACAAUACGAACCACAAGCGCCAGGUUUGUAGAGCAGAUUGAUGCAAUUUGAGCAGACAGGAAGAGGAGAAGAAGAGCCUCUAAUUGAGAAGCAUAAUGAUUGACGAAGGAAAACAUGAAGAGAAUAAGAAAAACACAAAUUUAGGCUGAUUGUUCUUCCUAUCAUCAUAAAUAUAAAUCUUCCUUAUGA
Molecule: long non-coding RNA, 735 nt
Organism: Hordeum vulgare subsp. vulgare (domesticated barley)
Lineage: Eukaryota; Viridiplantae; Streptophyta; Magnoliopsida; Poales; Poaceae
Exons: 3
Source: RefSeq, a predicted model, not a curated record